This 351-nucleotide ribosomal RNA is filed under the name Kushneria marisflavi. RNAcentral describes it as "bacterial SSU rRNA". It matches the Rfam family "Bacterial small subunit ribosomal RNA", at positions 1183 to 1533 of the family's 1533-position model. Lineage: Bacteria; Pseudomonadati; Pseudomonadota; Gammaproteobacteria; Oceanospirillales; Halomonadaceae. The record is from RNAcentral.
CCGGAUCUUAUUGGGCCCUUUACGAGCAGGGCUACACACGUGCUACAAUGGCCGGUACAAAGGGUUGCGAAGCGGCGACGUGAAGCCAAUCCCAGAAAGCCGGCCUCAGUCCGGAUCGGAGUCUGCAACUCGACUCCGUGAAGUCGGAAUCGCUAGUAAUCGUGGAUCAGAAUGCCACGGUGAAUACGUUCCCGGGCCUUGUACACACCGCCCGUCACACCAUGGGAGUGGACUGCACCAGAAGUGGUUAGCUUAACCUUCGGGAGAGCGAUCACCACGGUGUGGUUCAUGACUGGGGUGAAGUCGUAACAAGGUAGCCGUAGGGGAACCUGCGGUUGGAUCACCUCCUCA